CUAGCUGUAAACGAUGGAUACUAGGCGUUGAGAGUAUCGACCCUCUCAGUGUCGUAGCCAACGCGUUAAGUAUCCCGCCUGGGGAGUACGCGCGCAAGCGUGAAACUCAAAGGAAUUGACGGGGGCCCGCACAAGCGGUGGAGUAUGUGGUCUAAUUCGAUGCAACGCGAAGAACCUUACCAGGGCUUGACAUGUCCGGAACCCUGCCCAAAGGCGGGGGUGCCUACGGGAACCGGAACACAGGUGGUGC
Molecule: ribosomal RNA, 250 nt
Filed under: uncultured Chroococcidiopsis sp.
Lineage: Bacteria; Bacillati; Cyanobacteriota; Cyanophyceae; Chroococcidiopsidales; Chroococcidiopsidaceae
Description: partial 16S ribosomal RNA
Rfam family: Bacterial small subunit ribosomal RNA
Source: RNAcentral